Molecule: ribosomal RNA, 450 nt
Filed under: uncultured bacterium
Lineage: Bacteria
Description: bacterial SSU rRNA
Rfam family: Bacterial small subunit ribosomal RNA
Source: RNAcentral
AACGAACGCUGGCGGCAGGCUUAACACAUGCAAGUCGAGCGCCCCGCAAGGGGAGCGGCAGACGGGUGAGUAACGCGUGGGAAUCUACCUAGUGGUACGGAACAACACAGGGAAACUUGUGCUAAUACCGUAUAAGUCCUUCGGGAGAAAGAUUUAUCGCCAUUAGAUGAGCCCGCGUCGGAUUAGCUAGUUGGUGGGGUAACGGCCCACCAAGGCGACGAUCCGUAGCUGGUCUGAGAGGAUGAUCAGCCACACUGGGACUGAGACACGGCCCAGACUCCUACGGGAGGCAGCAGUGGGGAAUAUUGGACAAUGGGCGCAAGCCUGAUCCAGCCAUGCCGCGUGAGUGAUGAAGGCCUUAGGGUUGUAAAGCUCUUUCGGCGGGGAAGAUAAUGACGGUACCCGCAGAAGAAGCCCCGGCUAACUUCGUGCCAGCCGCCGCAGUAACAC